AACCCUGGUAACAGUGCAGUGAUUGGAACGCUAUGCUCAACCUCUCUCCACACGCGGCUACUCCUCACACUGGUUAUCAAAAUCUUCAGGGGCUCAAGGAAGUGAUCUUCCUGCACACAGUCCUGUUUCCGGUAAUCGUCGCGAGUACAACACAACCUGCCCCGGUGACGACCUUCGAGUAUGAGAAUACCUGCUUCACUUGGAUGCUUUGUUCGCCAGUGGGUACUACAGUUGCGAGGUGAAAGCAGAAAAUGCUGGAAACAGUUAGCAGGACAAGCUGGCACACAACUGGAAGCGGCAGGAAUUAAUUGGAGUGGAACUGGUGCACCUGCAUUUCUUAAGUCCAUGGAGGAGACAGUGCUGGAUGUUAUUGAGAUGACCAUUGCUGAAGCCAUGGGCAAAGAUGAAAGUAACCACAUACCUAAUCCUCCCUUUCACAAACUACAUCUCACCCUCAUCCCACACUCUCUUCUGAGUUACAAGCUACAGAUGGUUUGCUCAGCACUGCAUAAUAGUUGGAAGCGGGAUGCUCACAAGUCACAGAUGAAUAGCAGAUUGACAAAGAAGCAGUAGGAGAAAUAAUGAGGGGGACAGACAGGAAUGAGUGCAGAGAUGAGAAACACCAUGGAAUAUAGGUGGCUUAGUCAGCAAGAACCCAAGAUACUCAAAAAGAAAAUAAUAAACACCUUCAGAACAGAUAAUUUUGAAAAACAGCAGAACCCCUGUUCCUAUGAAGAACUGAUGGUGUAUCAAUAAAGAGUGGUGGUGCCUUAUCUUAGGCAGCACAGAAUUUUACUAUGUACCUGAAGAACAGAGCAAGAACUUUUUUUUUUGCAAAAAUAUACUUUAUUCAUAAAUCUUC
Long non-coding RNA from Carcharodon carcharias (great white shark), 862 nucleotides. RefSeq lists it as uncharacterized. The record is from RefSeq and is a predicted model, not a curated record. The transcript is spliced from 5 exons. Lineage: Eukaryota; Metazoa; Chordata; Chondrichthyes; Lamniformes; Lamnidae.